This 726-nucleotide ribosomal RNA is filed under the name Macalpinomyces eriachnes. RNAcentral describes it as "eukaryotic LSU rRNA". The stretch from base 215 to 369 matches the Rfam family "5.8S ribosomal RNA". The record is from RNAcentral. Lineage: Eukaryota; Fungi; Basidiomycota; Ustilaginomycetes; Ustilaginales; Ustilaginaceae.
UGUGGCUCGCACCUGUUCCAACUAAACUUGAGCUACCUGAAUUUUUCUCACAACACGGUUGCAUCGGUUGGCUGCUAGCUGUCCAACAGUGCCUGUUCUCGGGCGCUGUUGCGUUUCAGCGGCGGUCGACAACCUAACAAAACACUGUUGAUGAUCUAGGAUUUGAAUGUUCAGAUGAAAUCGACUGGUAAUGCGGUCGUCUAAAUCUAAAAACAACUUUUGGCAACGGAUCUCUUGGUUCUCCCAUCGAUGAAGAACGCAGCGAAUUGCGAUAAGUAAUGUGAAUUGCAGAAGUGAAUCAUCGAAUCUUUGAACGCACCUUGCGCUCCCGGCAGAUCUAAUCUGGGGAGCAUGCCUGUUUGAGGGCCGCGAAUUGUUUCGAACGACAGCUUUCUUGUUACGAGAACGGCUGGCGGAUCGGUAUUGAGGGUCUGUUUGCCAUGCCUUUGUGCGUGGCUCCCUCGAAAUGCAUUAGCGCAUCCUUUUUCCAUUCAAGGCAAAAGACGGACGAAGGCUCGCCAAUUUCGGCCUGCUUCCUCCUUCCCCCUGCCGGGUUUUGAUAACAUCAGGACUUCGGAGGCGGAAGAGGAGAGCUUGGGUUGAGAGAGCUGGACGCGACGUCUCUUGCUGGAAAAAAUUACGGAGUGCUUCUGAACCCCGCCCAUGCCUGUAGACUCUCUUUGGCGUCUACGGGACGGGAUUUUAUUUCAAUUUCAUCGGCCUCCA